GAUGAACGCUGGCGGCGUGCCUAAUACAUGCAAGUCGAGCGAACGGACGAGAAGCUUGCUUCUCUGAUGUUAGCGGCGGACGGGUGAGUAACACGUGGAUAACCUACCUAUAAGACUGGGAUAACUUCGGGAAACCGGAGCUAAUACCGGAUAAUAUUUUGAACCGCAUGGUUCAAAAGUGAAAGACGGUCUUGCUGUCACUUAUAGAUGGAUCCGCGCUGCAUUAGCUAGUUGGUAAGGUAACGGCUUACCAAGGCAACGAUGCAUAGCCGACCUGAGAGGGUGAUCGGCCACACUGGAACUGAGACACGGUCCAGACUCCUACGGGAGGCAGCAGUAGGGAAUCUUCCGCAAUGGGCGAAAGCCUGACGGAGCAACGCCGCGUGAGUGAUGAAGGUCUUCGGAUCGUAAAACUCUGUUAUUAGGGAAGAACAUAUGUGUAAGUAACUGUGCACCUCUUGAUGGGUACCUAUCAGAAAGCCCACGGCUAACUACGUGCCAGCAGCCGGCGUUAAUACGUAGGUGGCAAGCGUUAUCCCGAAUUUUUGGGGCGUAAAGCGCGCGGUAGGCGGUUUUUUAGUCUGAUGUGAAAGCCCACGGCCUCAACCGUGGAGGGUCAUUGGAAACUGGAAAACUUGAGUGCAGAAGAGGAAAGUGGAAUUCCAUGUGUAGCGGUGAAAUGCGCAGAGAUAUGGAGGAACACCAGUGGCGAAGGCGACUUCCUGGUCUGUAACUGACGCUGAUGUGCGAAAGCGUGGGGAUCAAACAGGAUUAGAUGCCCUGGUAGUCCACGCCGUAAACGAUGAGUGCUAAGUGUUAGGGGGUUUCCGCCCCUUAGUGCUGCAGCUAACGCAUUAAGCACUCCGCCUGGGGAGUACGACCGCAAGGUUGAAACUCAAAGGAAUUGACGGGGACCCGCACAAGCGGUGGAGCAUGUGGUUUAAUUCGAAGCAACGCGGAGAACCUUACCAAAUCUUGACAUCCUUUGACAACUCUAGAGAUAGAGCUUUCCCCUUCGGGGGACAAAGUGACAGGUGGUGCAUGGUUGUCGUCAGCUCGUGUCGUGAGAUGUUGGGUUAAGUCCCGCAACGAGCGCAACCCUUAAGCUUAGUUGCCAUCAUUAAGUUGGGCACUCUAAGUUGACUGCCGGUGACAAACCGGAGGAAGGUGGGGAUGACGUCAAAUCAUCAUGCCCCUUAUGAUUUGGGCUACACACGUGCUACAAUGGACAAUACAAAGGGCAGCGAAACCGCGAGGUCAAGCAAAUCCCAUAAAGUUGUUCUCAGUUCGGAUUGUAGUCUGCAACUCGACUACAUGAAGCUGGAAUCGCUAGUAAUCGUAGAUCAGCAUGCUACGGUGAAUACGUUCCCGGGUCU
RNAcentral lists this ribosomal RNA (1376 nucleotides) under uncultured bacterium. RNAcentral's name for it is "bacterial SSU rRNA". It matches the Rfam family "Bacterial small subunit ribosomal RNA", at positions 28 to 1381 of the family's 1533-position model. The record is from RNAcentral.